This 6053-nucleotide long non-coding RNA is filed under the name Salmo salar (Atlantic salmon). Its description in RNAcentral is "lncRNA (ENSSSAG00000100496.1)". The record is from RNAcentral. Lineage: Eukaryota; Metazoa; Chordata; Actinopteri; Salmoniformes; Salmonidae.
GCACGAUUUUAUUUUUUAUUUUUUUAUUUACAGAUAGCCAGGGGCACACUACAACACAAUUUACAAAUUAAGCGUUUGUGUUUAGUGAGUCCGCCAGAUCGGAGGCAAUAGGGAUGACCAGGGACGGUCUCUUGAUAAGGUGCGUGACUUGGACCAUUUCCUGUGCUGCUAAGCAUUCAAAAUGUAAUGAGUACCUUUGAGUGUCAGGAAAAAUGUAUGGCGUAAAAAGUACAUUAUUUUCUUUAGGAAUGUAGUGGAGUAAAGGUUCUCAAAAAUAUAAAUAGUGAAGUAAAGCACAGAUAACGCAAAAAAACGACUUAUGUAGUAGGCUACUUUAUCGUAUUUUUACUUAAGUAGACUACUUUACACCACGGUGCGCAAACAAAUGUCAGGUGCUUGACCAGACCUAUUUCGAAAAUAAACUAGGGGCUCUAUUCAAUCUGUAUAGUGGAAAUUAAUCGUUACAGCGUGAUGGAAAUGUAAUAAAAGCAAUUUUCUCUCGUUAAACGGAGACUGCAUUCAAAGGAAACGCUGCAGAGGUCGGCUCAAUAGGAAAUUACUUUAAAUGUCCUAUACGGGAUGGAAUAGAGCCCUUGGUCUGUGCUUAUCUUGUCAACAUUGACACAGUUUAGCCACAUGGUUGAUACAAUGUUUAUUGUGGAUGCCUGGCCGACUUAAUUGCCCACAACAAGAUAAAAUAGACAAUCAAAUUGGAAUAGUCCACAGAUAAAAAUAAGAAAAUCAUAAUUGUUUACAAGUCAGGUAAAUUAUUGAGCUGAGUACAGAGAACACUGCCAAACAAUAAGCCACCACAUUUCUAGGCCUAGGCUACUCAAAUGUAUGUUAAAUAAAUAUGCAUACUCAGUUAUACGAAAAUAGUCAUACCUUUACUACUGUCACAAUGUAUAGUUUACAUUCAGUAUUUUAGAAACACAAAAAAACACGAGACUUCAUGAAACAUAUAUAAUAAUGCAAAGUAAACGCAAAUGCUUAAUAUAAUCAUAUACUGGGAACCUAUGAAAAACCAUCACAUCUUGAACUUUAUUUUUUCCAGAGUAAAUAGUCUGGAUUUAUUUUCUUGCUGGUCAUAAAGAAAGUGAAAUAUACUUAUUUUAACAGUUGUUUUCAAAUAGCCAUGGUUUAAAAUACAGUACAACAUUAUACAGUAAGGUCGUUCCACCAAUUAGGUGCCUUUUGAAUAGUGUAACACGCUGGGGAUAAAAACAUUUUAUUUCACUUAAUUUUAACAUUCUGUCACAAGGAGCACAUGUUCAACUUAACAAAAAAACUAAAUGUUCCCAUCUCAAGAGGUAAAAAAAAAAUGACUACAGUAAUCUGCAUGCCUAUUAAGUGCCAAAUAAAGUAACAAGGUUGGUAACUUAAAGCAGCCAUAAAUCCCCUUGUGACAGGGGGAAUGGAAGCUUGGUGUGUGCAACAAGGAGAGGCAAUUGAAUGCAAGCUUCACUAAAAACAUUGAAAUUGUUAAAAGAUUUCAAGCCUGUCUAUGGGCAACAUCUUAUGCUUUACCCACUCAGUGUUCCACCACAAAACACCAGAAAAUGACCCCAAAAAAUAGGAGAACGAGCUCACCUGAUUUGACUGUUCAAAGUUUAAUGUCUCUUUUAAAAAAAAUAUUUUAAAAGGAAUAGUUUCAGCAUAUUAAAAUAGUGUUCAGUUUACAUAACAGGGUUGACCUUAAAAUGAGGGACAGGGUUUUUCUUUACCUUAAAAUGUAUCACUAAUAACAUUAAAUAAAUAAAUAAUCUUCAGAAAUUACUUGGUCAAAGCGACAAAAUAACUAGGGCUUUACAAUGAUGAUGAAAUCCUGGAGAAAUGUUGGGGUUAAGAAGAGGGUUAACAUUUUCCUUGAGGUCACAGAGGAUAAACAGAGGGAGAUGUCAAAAUGCUGACUUUUGGCACUUUAGCAAGGUUUUAUUCAUAUUAAAAAUCAAAUGUAUUGAAAUCCCAUGUGGUCUAUAUUCAAUGGCACUUAAUUUAAGAGGCUUUUAAAAUGCACCAUUUGUGCACAAUUUCUACUUAAAAUAUCAAAGGGAAGCAAAAGGCACUCAUUUCGUGGAACAACCCUGUAGAAUUUUUCAAUGGCAAUUGUUAUGACUAUUAUAAAUAAUAGUUUUUAGUUGUGGCAUUGAAGCACCUCCUGGGGUAAAGGAAAUAGUUUGAUGCCAGUCGAAAUUGUCCCCAGAAUAACGCAAUCAACAAAUUCCUCCUCUAGUCAAUAAGGUUUCCAUUCAACCUUUGUAUGCAAGUAAAGUACGUCUAAUAAAAAAAAUGGUAUGACAGGCCUAAUGGAAACAGAACAAGUUUUGGUAAACUUUCCAAAUGUCUACAAAACAAAAUACACUAGACCAUGUAGGAUCUUUUUGUGUCGGUAAAAUUAAUUGUGCGAGAAAUGUCGGUGGAAACGCUUUUAGGCGCAAGUAUCGAUAUAAUAACCAUCAUAUUGAAGUAAACUUGGAGUCACACGACGGCAUGUGGUGUGGUCCUCCCACUACGACUCGCCGGGAAAGCAUGCAGUUUAUUAGCUACAGAUUAAAUAAAUUAUGAUGAAUUGAACAGGGUUGUGAAAGUGCAAGGUGAUGAGUUUAAUGCUCCUUUCCAAUAAAUAUCGAGGUUAUUAUUCUGGUGACAUGAUCAUCGAUGCUUCACUGCCGUUAGAAAAAUAAUAUCGCUCUUUAAUCCAUAAUAAUCUCAUCAUGUGACAUGAGCCCUAGCCAACCGCGCGCAGAUCCAUCGCUAUAUAACCCACAAUUGGUUGUACAGUUGAAAAUGCGAAGGAAUCGCAUUUGACGUGAAUUUUUUCAUUCGGUACAUGGGAAUUUAACCGCAAAUAUAAUUUGUAUGUGCUCUAUGUCAUUACGCACAGUCUUUUAUCCGCAACACGUCAAUUUGAUGGCAACACAUCUGUGUUGGGAAAAUGCGCGCAUUGUUUUUAUGCGGAUUUUAGAAUAUUCGCAUGAAAAUCUGUUGCCAAUUGGAUGGAAACCUAGCUACUGAUAAUGACAACACAUGAUGCUCCUUUCCAAUACAUAUUGGAGAGUCUUAUCCUGGUGAUAUGAUGAUCUAUGCUUGGCUGCCAUUUGACAAAUAAAAAUGAUCUCGCUCUUUAGUCCAUGAUAAUCUCAUCAUGUAGGCAACAGUAUACCCGCACUGUAUCUGCGAGCUGUUGGCUAGAGCGCACGUGCCAAUACCAGAGUGGGCAUAUUCGCGAUAACGCAACGUACUGUAUUUAGUGACCAAACCAUCAGUAGAGUUGAAAAUGCGAUGGAAACCUAUUUAGCUUGUUUGUUUGUUUUUGUCGGUACAUGGGAAUUUAACCACACAAGUUAUUUGUAUGUGCACUAUGUCAUCACUCACUAUUUUUUAUCCCCAACAAGUCCGUUUGGUGGAAUGAAAACACACAACUAGUGGGAAAAUGUGCAUAUUUUCUUUAUGCCGAUUUUAGAAUAUUUGCAUAAAAAUCUGUCUCCAUUUGGAUGGAAACCUAGCUACUGACAGUACUAAUGUGGAAGCUAUGGGAAGUUGGUAGAGACAAAUAUGCAAAGUAGAGGAGAACACACAGGGAGUGUAGAUGCCUAAUACUGUUGUCCUAUGCCUAGUCAAUCUCGAAUGGCUUUUUAUAUCAAUUGAUUAAUUACACAUUCCUAAUCUGUGGUGAUCUGGAUACAUUAAGUGGCAGUACUACAUUACGAAUGUACAGUUGAAGUCGGAAGUUUACACACACCUUAGCCAAAUACAUUUAAACUCAGUUUUUCACAAUUCCUGACAUUUAAUCCUUGUAAAAAUUCCCUGUUUUAGGUCAGUUAGGAUCACCACUUUGUUUUAAGAAUGUGAAAUGUCAGAGUAAUAGUAGAGUGAAUGACAUUUUUCAGCUUUUAUUUCUUUCAUCACAUUCCCAGUGGGUUAGACGUAUAAAUACACUCAAUUAGUAUUUGGUAGCAUUGCCUUUAAAUUGUUUAACUUGGGUAAAACGUUUGAGGAGCCUUGCACAAGCUUCCCACAAUAAAUUGGGUAAAUUUUGGCCCAUUCCUCCUGACAGAGCUGGUGUAACCGAGUCAGGUUUGUAGGCCUCCUUUCUCGCACAUGCUUUUUCAGUUCUGCCCACAAAUUUUCUAUGGGAUUGAGGUCAGGGCUUUGUGAUGGCAUCUCCAAUACCUUGACUUUGUUGUCCUUAAGCCAUUUUGCCACAACUUUGGAAGUAUGCUUGUGGUCAUUGUCCAUUUGGAAGACCCAUUUGCGACCAAGCUUUAAUUUCCUGACUGAUGUCUUGAGAUGUUGCGAAGUGCACCAGCCCCUCCUGCAGCAAAGCACCCCCAACAACAUGAUGCUGCCACCCCCGUGCGUCACGGUUGGGAUGGUGUUCUUCGGCUUGCAAGCCUCCCCCUUUAUCCUCCAAACAUAACGAUGGUCAUUAUGACCAAACAGUUAUAUUUUUGUUUUAUCAGACCAGAGGACAUUUCUCCAAAAGUACGAUCUUUGUCCCCAUGUGCAGUUGCAAACCGUAGUCUGGCUUUUUUAUGGCUGGUUUGGAGCAGUGGCUUCUUCCUUGCGGAGCGGCCUUUCAGGUUAUGUCGAUAUUGGACUCGUUUUACUGUGGAUAUACAGUAUCUCACAAAAGUGAAUACUGUAGAUACUUUUAUACCUGUUUUCUCCAGCAUCUUCACAGGGUCCUUUGCUGUUGUUCUGGGAUUGAUUUGUACUUUUCACACCAAAGUACGUUAAUCUCUAGGAUACAGAACGCGUCUCUUUCCUGAGCGGUAUGACAGCUGCGUGGUCCCACGGUGUUUAUACUUGCAUACUAUUGUUUGUACAGAUGAACGUGGUACCUUCAGAGGGUUUGGAAAUUGCUCCCAAGGAUGAGCCAGACUUGUGAAGGUCUACAAAUUUUUUUCUGACAUCUUGGCUGAUUUCUUUUGAUUUUCCUGUGAUGUCAAGCAAAGAGGCACUGAGUUUGAAGGUAGGCCUUGAAAUACAUCCACAGGUACACCUCCAAUUGACUCAAAUAAUGUCAAUUAGCCUGUCAGAAUCUUCUAAAGCCAUGACAUCAUUUUCUGGAAUAUUCCAAGCUGUUUAAAGGCACAGUCAACUUAGUGUAUGUAAACUUCUGACCCACUGGAAUUGUGAUACAGUGAAUUAUAAGUGAAAUAAUCUGUCUGUAAACAAUUGUUGGAAAAAUUACUUGUGUCAUGCACAAAGUAGAUGUCCUAACUGACUUGCCAAAACUAUAGUUUGUUGACAAGACAUUUGUGAAGUGGUUAAAAAAUGAGUUUUAAUGACUCCAACCUAAGUGUAUGUAAACUUCCGACUUCAACUGUAGUUGUAUAAACGUGAGUGUGUCUGUCUGUGUGGAGCAUAUAAGUUGUCAGUCCCCUUCUUCAAGAGACUACACAUUUGUUAAAAAGCUGCCAUAUUUUGUUGAGUCCAUAAGUCUGUAGGAACCUGUUGCAAAGGGGAGCUGGAGACAAGAAGGUGGACAGAAGCUGACUGUGGGAAAGGAACUGAGAGUAACCAGGGAACUUUUUCUUACUCAUCAAAAGAAAAGAUUCAUGAAGAUCUAACUUUGUAAGAGAAACAAUGGCUCCCCUGCCUACCGCUCAGCCCACACAGCCUGGUAUAGAUAAUGAGCAGUGGUACGGAGGCAGAACACUUAUUGUGUCAGCCAGGCUCUGGGCUCGCUCUCUGUCUGUGGUGAAGGCUGACAGGGGAGUCGUCCAGACUGCUCACUGAGUCCGACACACUGCCCUCCCCGGUCAGAGGUGAAUCUGGACCAGACACACGCACACAGUUCUUUUCACAAUUGUUGAGCACGUUAGUUUUCAGUGUACCUCUCCGUGGAAUAUAGUCCAUAGAAUAUUGCUUUAACUGUGUUCUUGAGCUGCUUUCUUUGUCAACGGUAGCCAACGUCCCAGUCCUGUGCACAACAAAGCCUGCCCACAGUUACCUUCUACUAAGGCAUUGCCCAUUUUUUUUUUUUUUCUGUUGAUGCAGUGCUCACUGAUGCAAGAUGCCCCAAAUGAUAACAGAUAGUAGUCAUA